RNA transcript from Dromaius novaehollandiae (emu), 2852 nucleotides. It is a transcript of the gene named parkin coregulated like, with no coding region annotated. The record is from RefSeq and is a predicted model, not a curated record. The transcript has 9 exons. NCBI's taxonomy places the organism in Eukaryota, Metazoa, Chordata, Aves, Casuariiformes, Dromaiidae.
CUCGGCCUCCGGGCCCGGAGUGGGGGAUCGCUGCGGCCCCGGCCCUGCCCCGCGGCCCCUAACCGUAGUGGUGCUGCGGGCCCUUCUCUUUUUCCUUCUCCGUCCCAGCUGCGCUGCGGGGGGGCUGUCACUCACCCGGUAAUGUAAGAAUGUCAUCAAGCAUCCAAAUAAAACCGAAGACUGCAAUACAGAAGAGCAAGCCAUCUUCCACUUUGCCUUGUUCUCCAGAACCUUCAAUUAAACUGCAGCCAAAGCCUAGUGACAAACUGAAUCCCAAAACUAUUGAUCCGUUUGGUGAUCAUUCUAGAGCACCUUCUGCGUUUGCUGCUAUUUAUGCUAAAGGUGGCAUUCCAUGCAGGUUAAUGCAUGGUGCAGUAAAGCACAGACUACAAUGGGAAUGCCUUCCUGAAACUGUUCCUUUUGAUCCUCUUCUUAUAACUUUGGCAGAGGGCCUAAGAGAGACAAAACAUCCCUACACAUUUGUUUCAAAGGAAGGUUUUAAAGAGUUACUUAUGCUUGAAGAUGCUACUGGAAAAGCAGUUCCCUUGUUGCCUCGUCUAGUUCCAGUGUUAAAGGCUGCAUUGGCCCAUUCAGAUGAUGAAGUAUUCGAAAGAGGAUUGGAUGCUUUAGUUCAGCUGAGUGCUGUCGUUGGUUCUUCUCUUAAUGAUCACCUUAAGCUUCUACUCACAAAUAUAUGGUGGAGGACUCAGCAGUUCCAUGAAAAGCAUUACGUCAUAUAUUCUUGUGUCUUUCAAGGAGAUUAAUGGACAAGAAAUUUAAGGAAAAAAUCACUGUUGCUUUACAAAAGUUGGAGCAAUAUGGUGGAAAGGCGACUGUUGCUAUCAUCAAAUUGAAAAUUCCAACCUAUUGUUCUAUCUCCUCUUGAACAAGAAAUCCAUAGUGAUUUGCACUGCAAGGUGAAGUGUGGAGAGAAACUGCCUGUGAACAUCACUGACGUGUAUUUGGGGUAUCAUAUAUUCUCUUACACUAACCACAGCUCUUCUGCAAUAUGAUGGAGAGUGGGAAAAGUUGCAUCAGUUUGUGAAAAUGUAAUUAUGGAAGACCAUUUAAAAUAGUUAUCUCUGUAUCUCUGUGUUGGCUGGUAUUUGUGCACUUCUGUGCUUACAAUGACAUUUACUAAUGUAAAUGUCUAUUUUUUGGCAUUAAUGUAAAUGGCUAUUUUUCCAAAAGUAUAGACAAUAUUGAUUUGUAUUUUGUUGUAAAUUAAAUUUCUUUUAACAGUUUUGGUGCUUAAAAUGUUUUAUAUGUUUGUGUGAUAUAAAAUAAUUUGACUGUAAUUGCUUAAAUAAUAGAAAACUUAGUGUUAAAUUAAAUGUGUAUACUUAUGUUUGAAACACCUGUUAUUUGUGCCACAGACACAGAUGACCCCAGUUUGGAUUCAUCAGGAUAGACGUAGAUCUAUUGAGAACUCAGCUCAACUUUUGCAGAGUCAGCUUUUACACAUGUGAAGCUCAAGGUACCAAAUAGGUAGUAAGCACUGCACAACUGAGCCUGCUCCGUGCAGUGCUGUUCUCAGCACACUGUUCUCAGAGCUGGGGAGGCUCUGGAGAGCACAGUACAGAGGCAUCAGGUUGCUCCAUGUAGCUGCAGCCUAGGUUUUGCUGGACUAAUUUGUUCCAGUGAGCUAAAUAUUAGCAGAGGGAACUGGUUUUUUUACACCAUAUUCCCUUGCAUUCAGUUCUGUAAUGCUGCAGAUCUGCUUGGGACUAGCUUGUGAAUUCAGCCCUGGAAAAGCUAAUAAGCUUUGAAAUGUGGAAGCCAUGGAGAAACAUGUGCUAAAGACAAUAAAAAGACUGCAGAAGCCAACUUACCUGGCUGUCAAGCCCUGUAGGAUGCGGCUUUUGUCUAUGAGCAUACUGGUGCUUGAUUGCAAAAUGCUUCCCAAUAGGCCUUGUAAUAAAUACUAGGCAGGUUUGGUGAUGUUCCAAGUUCUCCCAUGAGGGAGAGAUGACUGAAGUAAGUAACAAAAUUUGACUUAGCAUCUUUUUUCCGAGGCAAAUUAAAUUCUGGAGUUAAAUUUAAGUUGUUGAAAGUUGUGGGUUUUUUAAAGUCAUCAAAAGAUAGUGUUGCAAAGGGAGUUAAAAAAAAUGCCUUGGUCAUGUGAAAGCAUAUUUGUAGAAUAUUUGGAAAAUUACCACUGGGUGGUUAUAUUAAAUUUAAUUGAACUGUACUAAGAUUAGUUAAUUUAGUUUUAAAAACUUAAAUACAUAUAUCUUAAUUUCGUUAAUAAAAAUGUUAAAUUUGAAGAAAUGCAACUGUUUGUUUUAACAGCACAAAAAGCAGUCAUUCUCCUUGUUUUUUUCAUGUUUGUUUAUUUAUUUUUUUUUUUUUUUACAAAAUGUGCACAUUUAGUUUACAUGAACAUGCUACAGCAAAUUUCAGGUGUACAUGUAUUGUACUACUCUUAUUCUACACUGGUGAUAGCAGAGCAGCCUUCAACAUGCCUCUUAAUGUCCCAUCUCUACACCAGAAUAGAUACCUGAUUUAUUUUUGCAAAAGAAUGUUUGUAGCAUUCUUUUUACUUCUUUAAUCCCUUUUCACAUUUUCUGCAGCAAUGUCACAAUGAAGAUUGGUCUAUCUCUGAUAGCAUUUCACAUAUUUUCCAAUAUUAGCAUAUAAAAUCUCUGGACAGUAAAUCAUAAAAAGUAAAUGUGUAUGUGGGGCAGAAACAAUGUUAUGUUUUAGAUACUUUUUUCCCCCCCCUCUUUCUUGAUUCAGAAUUAAGGUAGUUCUAAGCAUAACAAUGUAAUGAUCCUAAAAAAUGUAGAUCUAUAUCGCUGAAGUUUCCAUUUCUUCCCAUUUCUUUCUAAUUAAAGAUGAAAUAGAUGUUA